GUAGGGAAUUUUCGGCAAUGGGGGAAACCCUGACCGAGCAACGCCGCGUGAAGGAAGAAGUAAUUCGUUAUGUAAACUUCUGUCAUAGAGGAAGAACGGUGGAUAUAGGGAAUGAUAUCCAAGUGACGGUACUCUAUAAGAAAGCCACGGCUAACUACGUGCCAGCAGCCGCGGUAAUACGUAGGUGGCGAGCGUUAUCCGGAAUUAUUGGGCGUAAAGAGGGAGCAGGCGGCACUAAGGGUCUGUGGUGAAAGAUCGAAGCUUAACUUCGGUAAGCCAUGGAAACCGUAGAGCUAGAGUGUGUGAGAGGAUCGUGGAAUUCCAUGUGUAGCGGUGAAAUGCGUAGAUAUAUGGAGGAACACCAGUGGCGAAGGCGACGAUCUGGCGCAUAACUGACGCUCAGUCCCGAAAGCGUGGGGAGCAAAUAGGA
RNAcentral lists this ribosomal RNA (430 nucleotides) under uncultured bacterium. Its description in RNAcentral is "bacterial SSU rRNA". It matches the Rfam family "Bacterial small subunit ribosomal RNA", at positions 354 to 777 of the family's 1533-position model. The record is from RNAcentral.